Molecule: transfer RNA, 68 nt
Filed under: Monetaria annulus
Lineage: Eukaryota; Metazoa; Mollusca; Gastropoda; Littorinimorpha; Cypraeidae
Description: tRNA-Asp
Source: RNAcentral
AAAAAGUUAGUUAAACCAUAAUAUUAGGUUGUCAGCCUAACGUUACUAAACCCAUUUAGUACUUUUUA